Long non-coding RNA from Heterocephalus glaber (naked mole-rat), 1466 nucleotides. The record is from Ensembl. NCBI's taxonomy places the organism in Eukaryota, Metazoa, Chordata, Mammalia, Rodentia, Bathyergidae.
CUUUGUAUAUGCAAUGGUAUAGUUUUAUAAGAAAGACACUAUUGGUUAUCUAUUGCUGCAUAAAAGAUUACUCUUACCCAUAGCAGUUUAAAACAGCAGUAAAUUUAUCAUUUCACACUGUCAGUACUGAGGAUUGAAGGCAGGGCCUUUCUGCUGAGCUACAUCUCCAGCCCUUUUUUGUAUUUUAUUUAGGGACAAGGUCUCACUAAGUCACCAAGUUGCCCAAGAUAGGCUUGAACUUGCAAUCCUCCUACCUCAGCCUCCCAGGGUCCUGGGAUUCCACAUCCAGCUGAAUUCACACCAUUACUAUGGGUCCAAAACUCAAGUGCGGGUAAGCGAGUGGUUUUGGCUCCAAUCUGUAAUGAGCUGUAGUCAGUAUCAGCCAGAGUUGUGGUUCACUGGACAUGGAGGGUCCACUUUUAGGAUGUUUGUCCACACAGCUGGCAAGCUGGUGCUUCGGCUACUGGCUUCCCUAAAGUGUGUGGUUCAAGCAAAGCAGCCACAUGCCAGGUGAGGUCAUGCCUCUAAUCCCAGCCCACAGGAGGCUGAGACAGGAGCAUCACUGUGAGUUCGAGGCCAGCCUGGGCUACUCAGUGAAUUAAGGACAGCCUGAACUGCCUAACCCUGUCUUAAAAGAAGAAAAAGCCACAAGGCCUUUUAUGACCUCCUCUCAGAAAUCUCACUUGCUUCCUUUACACUGCAUGCAUUAGACUUUAGAAGGGAAAUCCUGAAGUUAGGUUCCCACAGAGGAGGAGAAUCGGGCUCUUCCUUUGGAAAAGAGGACUGUAAAAUGAUGUGUAGACAUAGCUGAAGCCAUGGAACAAAGCAAGCUAACAGGAACCUGUAACUGAAUAUAAAAAUCCAACUCAACCUAAAUUUUUAAAUUCAUAAACAGGAUGAGAGGGAAAGCCACAUUUGAUGGAAAAAUGAGGAUAUUAAUACAGCCCAUGAGGCACAAUGCCAAUUUUGUCAUAAUGGUGCAGAAACAUCUGCUUCAUGAGAGGCACAAGUCCAUGGCUGUUUGAUAUCUUUGCUCAAAACAGGAACUCCAAACAUCUUUCCUUAUUAAGGGAAGAAAUAUUAAUGAUUAACAUUGGGAAUAAAAAUGCCAACUGAAGAAAAGUUUGUGAAUACAGGGGUUUUUUUGCUGAAGAUACUGACAAAGUUGGGAUUAUUUUAUUGGAUCCCAUCCAGGAUGCUACAUUACAUCUUGUCAUACCUUCUUGAGUUCCUCUCGACUGUGAAGUAACAAACUUGAAUUGUUUUUGAGGUCUUUAACAUUUUUGAGGAGUGCAGUAAAGUAUAUUAUAGAAGCCUCUCUACUAGAUUUGUUUGAUAUUUUCCAGACUGAUUAGAUUGGAGUGAUGGGAAAGAUCAUGACAUUUGAAGAAUCCAUGCUUUCAACAUGCUCUCACUGUUGAUAGUGACAAUCACCUGAAUGGGGUGAUGUUUCAGGAUUCUCCCCU